UGAUACAGGACCUUGUCUGAACAAAGUGAUUUCAAAAUUUGAGCUUAAAAUGACAUUCUGAAAUCCAGUCAAUGUGCCUCAUUACUUUUCAGAGAACAUUAUUCUUGAGAGAAUGUUGGCUUGACAUGUGAAAACUUUGAAUACUUAGAAAUGGCAGGUGUAGUAGUACACUUUGCCAGUUACUCAGAUACCCCUUUUUUAUUUUCAUAGAUAUUCUGGGAUAAUUCCUUUUUUUUUUUUUUUACUAUAUAUAUGUGCAUGCUGAUGAAAGCAAAAAAGAAAGCACAUCCUUGGAUCUGAGAAGGCACGCGUGUGGUGAGAUGGAAGCAAGGACACGCAAAAAGGAAAUUUAGCACCUCUUGGAUCAGACCUUGAAUGCCACAGUGCUAGGUGUUUAACUGAUGUCCAGGAAGGAGAGAAACUAAUAUUAUGAUGAAAUACAAUGAAUCUGCCUCAGAUUCUCUAAUUCAUCUAUCUGCCAAAGCAGUCUUUUGGAAAGAUGACCACCACAUCAUGUUUCUUCAUCAGUCUGCAGUUGACAUGUUUCAGGAGUAUUAGAAAUAAGCAAUAAUCAGAGGACAAGGAUUAUAUAAACUGAUAAUAUUUACAGCCUCUUUUGCCACUGUCAAAACUGGAAAUUUUCCACUUUUAGUCACUGAACUUUUGGAUUCUUAAAUUUUGAGACAUUCUUUCACACUUAGCCUCUGCAUAAGAAUCUUUAGAAGUUUGUACAGCAGGAAGCAACGUGACUGCAACCCAGGAAGAUUUAGAGUAGAUUUGCAAAUCUUUUUUCCAUUAACAUAGGUAAGUAAGCAGGAGAGACUAGCCUGAGUGACUGCUCCUGCAUUCAUAAAACUGUAGUUUUCAAAUUCUUCUGGAGUAUUCUGAGCAAUUUUACUUACAGACUGCUAUCGAAGUUUAAACCUCAUGCUGAUUUAAGGGGUCUUUGGUCAGGGCACCUGUGUAGAGCCACUCUCUUGAUCCUCGACUCUGCUCAUUUGCCUGGUCCAACAGCAUCAGGACAGCAUCUCAUUCCGCAUUCCUCCCAAAAAUGGAAGUGUGUGAGGGGGUAUCUACUGAAUUGAAAAUUAUUUCAAGUGGAUAAAACGAGAGUAGUAUUGGGCUAGUCUGGACAAUGUCAAGUACACACAAGCCAACCUUGCAGGAAUAUGUGGAUAGAAAGGGAAGAACAGCACAUCUUGAAUUCAGCUAGAAACUUCACCAGCUACAUCAUCACAGACAAAAUAAAAAUAGAUUUAUACUCUUCUGAACUUCAUCUUGCCUUUCAAAUGUUUACAUUUGGAUUUGAGGGGGGAAAAACCGUGUCUUGCUUGCUAUGGAGUAUCAACUUGCCUUCAAAAGAUUUACCAGUAAAAGCCUUGCAUAUGUGAUAUUUGUAUGUGUAUGUGAUAAACAGAUCUUAGUGUGGGCCUCCCCUCCGACACCCCUGCUGGAGCUAGCAUUUUAAAGCAGCUUGGAAUCUGAUCCUAUUAACUACUGGACAUAUAUAGCAUAAGAAUUUAUUGAAAUACUUCGGAAAAUUGUGUUUGGGUAAUAUGAUUGAAAUGGAAAUAUACUAAGUGAAUGAUGAAUAUAUAUGAACUGUAUAUUGCAUAUUAGGAAAUGAAGAGAAUGAAAAUUUCAACAUGGGAUAGUUUUAUUGUAUUCUCUUUUAGCUUAGUUUUUCUUGGACUCUAAUACUGAAGCAUAGAGACUUACAUUUAUAAACAUGAAUCUACUAUUUUUAGAUACUUUUUAAAUCGUUGCUGUGAUAAUAGAGCUGGUUUCCUAGGGAAGUUUCUAAAAAUAUGUUUGGUAAAAUCGUAUCUCACAAAGAUUUUUGGAAGGAAUUCUGUGGACAUUUUGUAAAGCUAUACAUAAUUCUCUAUUCAUUGUUUGAGCGCUUAUGGAUAGGAGAAAAGAAAUGGGCAUGGUGAGUGUCUAAUACGUUAAUCAGGAAAAAAAGUUAAGGCACUAGUUAUUCAUGUGCAUUUUGAGAAUGCUUUGUAUGAAAUAACAAUAUAAUUGCUUUGUGACAUUUCUUAGUGUAUUGUGAUUGCUAACAGAGUUUGCUAAAAUACAUAGAAAUAUUUUAAUAGAUGAUUAUAGAAAUAGAAUAAUUAGAAUACCUCUGAAUGAUGUGUAUUUAUAAUCAUUUGAUCGGAUUAUUGCUGUGGGUUUUUUGCGGGGAGUAGGAUUGUUCUGCAUACAACUGUCUGUAAGAAAUUUUAUUAAGGCUGCUUUAUGUGGAUGUAGAUGUUAUUCUGUAAAUGGUCUUUAUAUGUUAGAAUUUGUAUGGCAUUAGAUUUUAUUCUCAAAAUGAGAUUGUUGCACAAGAGGCCAGCCUCAAUGAACACUUUGCCUGUUCAGGGUUGAGUGGGCUUUUUAUUGCUCUGUAUACACAUGAAAAAAGUACUGUUAUAUCAUCUUAUCAAGCAUAGAAGUGGCUGACAUUUUGGUCAUUUCAAUUGUUAAAAUAUAAUUUUGUUGCUUGCUGAGAGGUGUUUCUAGACUGCUUUGUAAAAGAGCUGAAUUCAGGAGAUAGAGAAUAAGACGUUUUGGAGGGCUGUGUAUGUAUAUAUGCAUGCAUAUAUACAAGGAGAGUUCUUGAACAGCCUCCAGGCGUUACUCCAUGCUCAGAUGUUGGUAAUCUACAUAUGUUUUGUAAAAUAUUCUAAUGUUAAAGAGAGGUAGACUUUUCCCCUUCCACCACUGCAAUUGUUUAAAUUGCCUCUGAACAUUAAUUCAUUUCUGGUAGAUAUUGUUAUACAUUUUGUUAUAAACUGUUAUUAAUGUUAGAUAUUUUUGUUUAACAUCUAGUUUUCUACAUGUAUAGACAUCAUUGUAAAUUCAUUUGAACUUAUAAAGGUAGAACCAUUUUUGUUUGCCAAAAGAGAUGGUUAGAUCUAGCCUCUGUGUUCAUUGAAUCAGUAGGUUCUAUUUUUAGGUUGUGGUAAAUACAAUGUGUAGUAUCUCAUCUAACAUGUCAUUGUUUUAUGACAAGAUUCAUCAUGGUGGAAAUGUCCUUGUAACUGGUGGUCUGCCUUUGCUUAUUGGUUUUAGAAACGUUUGCACACAAAUAACACAGUCCUUUGUAUAACAUAGAGAAACCUCUACUUGUGGUAAAAUAGCAUAGGUUACAAAAGUUUUCAGUUGCCGGUGAAAUUUAACUUUUAAUAAUAGUGAAUUGUUAUUUUAAAGUACUUAGUUGAUUAAGCAAUUUAUAAGUUUUUAUGGGAAAUGUUAGCAAUGGCGUAUCAAAUCUGAGUUCAUUAAAUCAUGAGCCGAUCAAAAGAAUGUUUAUGUAUUAUGUGUAUAUAAUGGACAUAGUUAUUUUUUAAAGGAUAAGAAUACUAUAUCUGCAUGUUUCGUAAGUAUAUUAAUUGUAGAAUGAAAACUUACCCAAAUGGUUGUCACAUUGUCACUAUGAGUAAAUAAUUGGGCAGCUGAAGGGGUUUUUGUUAGAUAGUUGUGUGUAAAAAGUUAGAAUAUGUAAUAGUUUUGCUUUAAACUUUCAGUUCUUGAUUUAUAGGGAUUGCUUACAUAUACAUAUGGGGGUGUGUGUAUGUGUGUAUAUAUAUAUAUAUACACAUGCAUGCACAUAUGUACAUAUAUGUGUAUGAAACAAGUGUUUAUUAAAAUUCAGAAAAUAGAAACAUCAUUUUUUGGCCAAAUAAUUGUCAUUCGGGCUUUAGUCUAUGUUCUUUGGGUUGUUUGAGGGUAGAUGAUAUAGGAAGUUUUAGUUUUUGAACUUUAUUUAGUACCUGGAGGAUACUGUGAGGCUGCUAGAUAUAUGGUAGACAAAUGUUAGUCUUUGUUUUAUAACAUCUGCAUAGGAUUUGCUAAUAGGCAUACAUUUUUGAAGAUCAAACCGAUAUAGACAAAGGUGAAAACACUUUACGUUGGUAAAUUGAAUUCCUAUACUGAGUCCAUUUGGGAUGUAUUUGGUUGAUGGGGAUUAUAUUUUUACUUUGAUUCAUGUAUCGAAGAUAAAUGUCAUUUUAUAAAACAUUUUUGAAUAUGUAACUUCUGUCAAUUUUGAAAAUAUGUUUUUAUUGAAAUGUUAAAGGUAGAAUUACUGUUUGAACAUAGGUGCAGUAGAAUGAGCAUAUUCAUGAGUUUGGCUUGAUUUUAAGGGUUUUUGUUUAUUUUUGUGUUUUGAGUUUUUUAAUUAGAUCUUUUUUGUUAGUAUAUGUCAUUGCCAUUCAUAUUUUUAAAUAUGUAACUUGUAUGAUUUUUCUUAUCUAAUUUUUUGAUUGAUAAAUGUUGGGACAGAGCAGGGAAGCAUUUGACUGCUGUAUAUAUGAUAGACAAGCUUCUUGUAUAACAUCUUAACUUCCUAGGCAUGUAGAAACAUCCUCUUCAUAUGCAGGCACAUGCACACACACAUGAACACACACACACACUCUAAAUAUAUUCAUGUUGAACUAUAGUUAUCUUUAAAACACCUUUUCUUUCUAGAAAUGUAGACAUUGCUGAUAGAAUAUACUUUUAAAUAUCAGGAACUUUUUUAUCAGUAUAGUAAUUAGCGUUUUUUGCAUGUUCAGUGGUUUGUGGUGACGGAUAUGGACAAGGGUGUUGGAUGUUUUCUGAUCUCAUGUCUGUAGUAUAUGAUGCUUUAGCUUUAUUCUUUUUGGUUUAUAGAGAUUGUGGACAUCCGUAUGUUUCAGUCAUGCGGUUUUAAACUGUAAGGUUGAAACGCUUAACUUUUGCAAAUGUUUUUAGAAACUAUAUGGCUUGGUCUUUUUUUUUUUAAAUAACUGAGUUUAUAAUAGUUGCUUUAUAACGUUUUGAGUGUGAAUGUAUAGAACUGUUGAUAAACGGAAUGAUAGAGGUUAGAACCAGUUUCUUUUGAUAUUUUUAGUUCACCCAUAUGGAGUCUUCAUUGGACUGCUGGGAUCCUUAAAGACAAAUUACCAUAAUUGAGUUAAAACUCUCUGAGCUAUAUUCUUGUUCCUUAUGUAUAUAUUAUCAUGUUAGGGAGAAGAUCGUGACAUUUAAAAGUUCUUUUACAUCAUAUUUUCAUUUAAAAGAAAAAUUAGAUUAUAAACAUUAAAUUGUUUCCAUUUUAUAUAAAAAUAUCUGUCAGUUUCAGGAACAUGUAGGUAUAUCUUAUUUUCCAGGUGUACUGAAGUUAAUUAUGCAAUUCAGUUUUCUAAAGAACAUUUUAUAAAAUCUCUGAGUUAUGUACUUCUUUGUUUAUCUGUUACAUGGCAAUAACCAAGAUAAUUUUGUAAAUAAUGGCAAGUAAGAUAGUUAAUUUUAAAUAUCUAGUAUUUCUACAUGUAUUGAGAGUCUCACAAAGUAUAAUUUUGUAAAUAUUCAUUGUAAAUGUGUUCUCUUGUCUUCUAAAAUUAACGUGGCAAUGAAACUGAUUGUUGAUAAACAGACUCUUGGGGUUAUACAAAAUUAAUCGUAUAUUAAUUUGGUCGUUAGAAGGAAUUGACAGGAUUUUGCGUUUACCUCAUUCUCAUAUAGAAGAAUAGUUUCUAUUGUAUCAAAUAUGAAUUGUAUAUUAAAAAAACUUAGACAAUGUAAAUUUAUGUGGUAUUUCUGGAUGUAGUGAACUUCCUCACUUAUUUCUUUAAUGUUGCUUAAUUUUUUUAGAACAGUUUUAGGUUCACAGCAAAAUUGAAGGGAAGGUACAGAGAUUUCCCUUAGACCUUUUACCGCAACACAUCUGUAAUCAUCCCCUUUAUCAGCAUUCUCCAACAGAGUAGUACAUUUGUUACAAUUGGUGAACCUACAUUGAUACAUUGCAAUCACUCAAAACUCAUAGUUUAUGUUACGGUUUACUGUUGGUGUUGUACAUUCUAUGGGUUUGGACAAAUCUGUGAUAACUUGGAUCCAUCACUGCCCCGAAAGUCCUCCGUGCUCUGCCUAUUCAUACCUCCCCAUAUAUUUUUUUCUUUUGUUUUUAACAUUCAGCAUAUAAAUGACUUUAUCAAGGAGAUUUUCUACUACCUCUUGGAACUAUACACAGUUCUGUAUGUGUUCCCUUGGUUGCAUGACAAUAUUCAAGACAACUUUGUAAAUAAUAGGAUGUAAAUUUUUAAUUUUUAACAUCUAGUUUUUCUAGAUGUGUAGAGUCUCACAAAGUAUAAUUUUGUAAAUAAUUCAUUGUAAAAUAUCAUGGUUUCAUUAUUUUCUUUCCAAUGUCUUAGUGAAAUUGAUAUCUAAGUCAUAAUUUUGUAGUUGUACUGCUUGAUAUUGGGCAUUAUAUACUUUAAACAUAGGAAAUGUUAUAUAAGAAAUUUUGUUUUCCCUCUUUGAAUGAUAGUUUUGUAUUUCAACUGCAUGACAACAUUCAAGACAACUUUGUAAAUAACAGAUGUAGUAUUUUGAAAGAAUGUGGUUUUUCUAGAUGAAUGGAGUUUCACAAACAUAAAUCUGUAAAUAUUUCAUUGUAAAAUAUCAUAAAUUGUCUCAUGUAAAUGUUUUGGCUGUGUAAUUAAUUAAUAAUUGGCCUCUUAGGGCUGUUUAACAUUUUGGUGUUUGUUCACUGAGUUUUGGGAAGAGAGAUAGACACAUCCCCUCAGAUUGUUAAGCUUUCAUGUAGAAGAAAACAUUAGAUUGUAUACUUAGAACAAACAAAGAAAAAUACCCCUGGAUGUAUUUUUAAUUUUAGGAAGAAAAAGGAAGACAUGAGAAGGAAUCAUCAUUUUAAAUCACAGAUUCACAGGAGAUUCUCACAUUGCUAAAGUAAUUGUCACUUUGCUAUACUAUAUAAAUUUACUCUUUACAAAUUUAUAUAUGUAUAUGCAUAGAUAUAAAGGUAUAUAUACACAUAUACAGGUAAAAUUACUUUUAGGGAUAUAGAUUUGAUAAUACUCUCUUUUGUCAUUUGUUAACUUAUUGCUUCACAUUUUUUUUGAAAACAAUGGAGAUAGUAUUUUAAUUCUAAGCUUAAACAUUUCUAGAGGCCCACUUCAUGUUAUAGCUACAUGUAUGUUAAUUUUUUAUAUAAAAUGAUUAAGUAGCUCUGUAUCUGUUUCCUAGUCUGUUUCCAUAUAUACACAUAUAUGUGAACAGAAUUCCUCUGAUAAUGAAUAUUUUAAAAAAUUUUUGAGGACCUUUAAAAUUUUCCAGUGAAUAGUUAUAUUUGAUAUGUGAUAGUCAGAAACAAAUGUCAAAAGUCUUUCAUCUCAGUUGCCUCUAAUAUAAAUUAUGAAAAUUUCUUAGAUUCUAUUCAGUGUUCAUCAAAGUAUAAAUCAGUGUACCUUUUUAAACAGUUUGGCACUGACGAUAAUAAUUGAGUAUGUAAAACUUUUAAAAUGGUAUAACUUGCUCUUGAUUUUAUCUAUUGCAACUCUCAAAGAAGAAAGUAUGUUUUGUAGAUUGAGAUGACAAAUAAUUUGAACAUCUGAAAUCCUCAUCAAUAAAAGGUCGUAGUGAUUACAGCUUAUUGGUCACAUGAAUGUAAUUCAAAUACUGAAAAAAAAAUUCUCGUAUGGAAGGCUGUUUUUAGGUCAUAUUUAAAAUUGUCAUUUUUGAACAAACAUCAAUUAAUUGUGUUUACAAUGGUGUCUAUAUGCCUCCAGUUUUUCAAACUGAAGUGUUAAUGGUUACUAUUCCUGGGGAAUGGGAUUAUCCUGGUAUGAUUAUCGUGUUAAGUAAUGCUUACUGGUCAGUGUUAUUUUAAUGGUGAUUAUUUUACCAUUUUUUGGAAUUUUUGUACAUGUAUAAUUUAAAUAGUAAAACAUUGUUUAUGUAUUUGUAUGUUGCUACAUGACAAUCUAAAAUGAAUAUAUGAAUUAUUAAAUAAAAACAUAUCUGGAAGGACGUAUGAAAAAGUUUUAACAUAACUGUAUAGAGAUAGAGGAAUAGAAGGACUGCUUCUACUUUCUGCAUUUGAAAUUUUAAAGCUAUUUCAAAAGGAACAUUUAAACAGAGGGAAUUUUAAAGAUACCAGCAGUUUGUGCCUGUCUUCGUCCUUGCCUCUCGACAUCUUGGGAUUUGGGGCUGUUGUAUCCAACUUUGUAUUCUCAGUGGCCAUUAUGAGUGGUUUUUGAGUGGUCAUGAAGAGCAUGUGAUUUAGAGACUUGUGCAGCAGAGAGUUUUACAGAGUGAACACAGAGUAUUGGAUCACCCAAGGAAAGAAGGGAGAAGAUGGGAUUUGAGUUGGAUAUGAUGGAAGAAAAACAUUUGCAGAUAAUCUGAGUACAGCUGUGACAUCAUCAGGAACAUUCCUCUUUUAUGGAGUUCCUUGAUUCAUAAGUCUUACCCAUGAAUCAAAGGAGAUGAUAAUUCCGAGAAAAGAUACUUUACCAAGUUCAUUUUUAAUCCCAAGAAUCGGUGCCACUGGAUCUCUAUUGCAAUAUUCCUCAUUCAGGUGUUCGUCACUGCCAUCUCUGGUCCUAGGAGUACCCCUUGGCGAUAUGAUUGUGAUGACUGAAUAGGAAACUGAUGCCAUUUCUUCUGACACCAUCUUCAUCAAACCAAAAGAUGGUCUUCAUAAUGUAUGGAGACUCUUUCGUGUGUUGCAGUGGACACUCCUUGCAGAUCAGAAAAACCGGACUGAGAAAGCUCAUGUUUUAAAGUAAUCUAAAGAGUGUAAUUGGAGAGAAUUGUAACCAGGCCUGUUGACAGUUUUCAUUGUUGCCAUUGGACUAAAUCUCAGGAGCUUGAAUGCCAGAGACGUUAUUACACAGAAUCUCAGGAUGGUGUAAUUGCAAGGCUUCAUUUCAGUGUUCCCAUAAGUAUUAAGUGCAUGUAUUUAUAAUUUUCACUUAUCACAGGAUCAACUUAAAAUUAUUUCAUAAAAAAUCAUCUUGUUCAAGAUUUUAAAGGUAUAGAAAUUUGUGAAGUAUGGUAUUUUUAACUCAUGCCCUUUUCCCCUCAUAAUUCUAUUCUCCAGCGUUAUCUACUGUCAGUGUAGUUUUGUGCACAUCUUUUUGGGGUGUGUUGAUAAACAGAUUGAUAAUGCAACUCUCUUUUUGGCCCAUAUUAUGUCUAUAAAUUUUCUAUGCCGUAAAAAGGCAUACAGAUAAAUUAUUUUGAUAAUUUCAGAGAAUUGGAACUGCUAGGACUAGGGAUGUCCAAAAAUUUAUGUUUUGAGUCAAAACUACAGCUUUCCCCCUAAUCAUAGAGAGAGAGUCCUCAUCACUAUUGUCUCCCAGUGUUUGUUCAUGAGAGUUCUGUUUCGUAAAAUGGUACACAUGUUAGAUGUCAGUGUUUUAAUCGUUAACAAUGCGAUAUUACGAAGAAAUUGCUUUUUUUCUUCUCUUGUUUGUCUCCAUCAUCUUCGUAUAUCCUUAAUCCUUACUAUGAAAUACCAUGUUUUCUUUUCGGCAUCAUUUUACUGUGGUGUUUUAUUUUUUGGUUGUACAAAAGUUGUGUAUUGAAAUACAAUAAUGUUCUGUUUUAUGCCUUUUGAGUUUUGUGUUUUUCUUUUAAGAACAUGUUUGCAUUAGUAUCAUACAUUUCUUUCUCUGUAUUUUCUAAUACUUUUCAUUUUGUCCUUUUAUUUUUCCAUUAAUCAUUACCAUGGUAUUUAAAGUAUUACAUACUCAAAUUGUUUCCCUUGACUUAAGGAAUUACUGCUUAAUUUAAAUUCUGUAAUGAUAUGGAAAUUCCCACAUGAUUGGCUACAUUUCUAUUUAUUUGCUUUAUCUUAUAUUGAUACUUUAAAAUUACCAAUGGUUUCUAGUCUUAGCUAUUCCAUUGAAUUCUCUCAUUUCUCGUAAUUUUUCAGAAUAUUCCCUGUCUACACUCAAAUUUUUUCCCUCAGUUGACGCUUAAAAUUAUUUUCCAAGUUGGAAAAAAAUGCAAUUUUAAGUUCAUUUGCACCAAAUUUAAUAGAGUAAUUAGGAGAGAAUUAGAUCUCUUUAACUCAGCCUUCCUAUCCAACUGCAAGGUAUGUGUUUCUAUUUUUAAUUAAAUUAUGUGGGAAUAUUGCUAGUGUAGUUUUAUUUUCUUAUUUUUUGAUUAAUCCCAACUCAUCUCAUACUUUUGUCAGUGUAGCGAUGGGGAUCAUACACUCAGUUUUUCUUAUUAAUAUGUGAAAGCCAUUUCAUGUACUUUUCUAGUGACGUUUAAUUGAAAUACCAAAAUUAUGGUUUUCUUUUUUCACAAUUCAUAGGUGGUUUCAGAAUGUAUGAAAGCAGAAAGUGCCCUUGGUUAUUUCAUUCUUAAUACUAAUCCUGUUAAAGGUUUACUUAUGAGUCAUUUUAGGAGACAGCUUCCUUCCUUUCAUUGAGGAUUUUCCACUAAAUUUGAUGACAAGUUUAAUAAAAUGUCUUGUGUUUUACAGUUGAUCAUACUUGCCAUUAUAAUUAUUGACUAGGGUAAAAAUUAACUUUUUCUAAAAGUGAACAUUCUUGCAUCCAGUGAAUGAAUGAACUUAAUUGUGUAUGUGUGUAAUUAUAUAUAUAAAUAUAUAUGUAUGUAAAUACACACUUCCCUAUUAUAAUCAUUAUAAUUUUGUUUGCGAUUUCUGAAAAAAAUCUUAAACAACUUUAUUUUGUUUUGGUCAGGGUUUUGUGUUUGGUUAACUGGCUCUACUGAAAGUGUUUUGUGUAUUUUUGAUGUAGACUGGAAAGAAGUAUUGCCAUUAUUGCUUUAAUUUUUAUUUUGAAAUAAUUUUUGACACACAAAACUAUUGCAAAAGUAGUACGUAGUUUGUAAAAAUAUUCUUUAGAUUCCUCUUAUGUUAGCAAGUUUCAUAUGCAUGAUACAAUUAUCUAAACCAGGACAUUACCAUUGACGUACUGUUGUUAACUGAUCCUUUUUAUAGGUCCAGGAGUUAACGUGAAUGUUUGACCAUGCUUUCAAGUUUGAAAUGUUUGACCAUGCUUUCAGUUUCCAUGAGUCACAGUCAUGGGAUUUCUUAAAAUACAUCCCAAAUAGAAUCUGAUAAGGCACUUCUAUUUUCCCAUCUCCCAUGCAAGAAAUAACAACUUAAGACUUAGUUUUCUCUUAUAAUUUAUUCCGAAUGUAUUUUGUUAUAUCUCAGUAUUUGGGGCACCAGUAUUUUUGAAACACAAUCAUCAAACUACCUGUUGAAAAGUAUAAAAUGCAAUAAUAAUUCCUUAUAUUGUUAAUCACAAUGAAUAAUCAGUACCACCUAUGAAAUGCUUUUUGGUAAAAAAGUCUUAUUCCAAUUUGUCUUAUGUGUUUAAUUAAAAGUUAUGUUUAAAUCAGCUCUUGUAGAAUCAUGCAUUCCAUUCCAUUUGG
Molecule: long non-coding RNA, 11175 nt
Filed under: Equus caballus (horse)
Lineage: Eukaryota; Metazoa; Chordata; Mammalia; Perissodactyla; Equidae
Description: lncRNA (ENSECAG00000044342.1)
Rfam family: Small nucleolar RNA SNORD107 (bases 1-65)
Source: RNAcentral